GACGAACGCUGGCGGCGUGCUUAACACAUGCAAGUCGAACGGAAAGGCCCUGCUUUUGUGGGGUGCUCGAGUGGCGAACGGGUGAGUAACACGUGAGUAACCUGCCCUUGACUUUGGGAUAACUUCAGGAAACUGGGGCUAAUACCGGAUAGGAGCUCCUGCUGCAUGGUGGGGGUUGGAAAGUUUCGGCGGUUGGGGAUGGACUCGCGGCUUAUCAGCUUGUUGGUGGGGUAGUGGCUUACCAAGGCUUUGACGGGUAGCCGGCCUGAGAGGGUGAACGGCCACAUUGGGACUGAGAUACGGCCCAGACUCCUACGGGAGGCAGCAGUGGGGAAUAUUGCACAGUGGGCGGAAGCCUGAUGCAGCAACGCCGCGUGCGGGAUGACGGCCUUCGGGUUGUAAACCGCUUUCGCCUGUGACGAAGCGUGAGUGACGGUAAUGGGUAAAGAAGCACCGGCUAACUACGUG
RNAcentral lists this ribosomal RNA (468 nucleotides) under uncultured bacterium. RNAcentral describes it as "partial 16S ribosomal RNA". It matches the Rfam family "Bacterial small subunit ribosomal RNA", at positions 28 to 507 of the family's 1533-position model. The record is from RNAcentral.